AAGGGCACGGCUCAGUGGUAGAGCGUGUGCUUAGCAUGCACGAGGUCCUGGGUUCAAUCCCCAGUACCUCCA
Molecule: transfer RNA, 72 nt
Organism: Camelus ferus (Wild Bactrian camel)
Lineage: Eukaryota; Metazoa; Chordata; Mammalia; Artiodactyla; Camelidae
Rfam family: tRNA
About the family: Transfer RNA (tRNA) molecules are approximately 80 nucleotides in length. Their secondary structure includes four short double-helical elements and three loops (D, anti-codon, and T loops).
Source: Rfam